UGAACUUGACUUGGUUACUGCCAAGCUUUCAACUGCUAACUGCUAACCCAACUUGCAAGGGGAUUCCCGCAGAAUCAUGAAACACAACACAAAUGUACAAAGGACCUCUAAGAACAUCUAUGGCUUUUUCUUUUAAUUUUGUACUCUCUGCCUUUUUCCGCUCUAUGACUUUUUCAUACAAACCUCAUUGUUUGCCUUUUCCAUAAGACUCAAGACAGACAAAAUUAAACAGAAAAAUAUAAAACAGAAAACAUUGAAGGAGAAGAACUUCUGUUAGUUUAGGUAGCUAUGAGAACCCUGUGCCUUGCACUCUCACUCCUUGCUUCAAGCCCUGGCUGUUCACCCUUAUAUAUAGGGAGAAGCCUCCACGGUUGAAACCAAACAAACCAAGCUAAUCUUCUUCUUCUUCAUGCAAACCGGUUCGGCCAGAGAGAGAAGAGGAAACUGAAUGUAAAACCCAACAUGCAAUUACCUCUGGUCCUUCCUUGGUCACCAAUCUUCAUCAAUCCGAGCCCUCCAUCUUGCCUUGCACUCCAAGAUGGACUCCUAGCCCUUGAUGCUUCAUGAUGAUGACAGUUUCAUCUGCUCCAACUUCUGCCUCUUCCAUCAUGUAGCCAUUGUAGCUACCUCCUGUGGUGGUUGAGUAAAAUCAGAGUCAAGCCAUCCCUCCAAGAAUCUUACUCCUCUGACCGAAAUCUUCUUCCUCCAUUUUUGGGUAUGGAGAAGCCAAGAUCUCUUCACCAAAUCUUACCAUAAGUGAUGAGAAUCUCAGCCACAGCAUACUUUUUAUUUUCUUUUUCUUGCCAUCAUUGUGAUGGUCUUGUAACUUGCUUCUCCUUCUCUUCGGUGGCUAGGCCUAGCUUCCAUAGUUUCCUCUGUGAUAUGACCGAAAGAAGAAGAAAGAGUAGAGAGAGAAGAAAGAAAAAAGCAAAGCUAUGAGUGUUAGAUAAAUUAAUUAGGUGCAACUCUCCAUGCUUUGUGUAGUAGCGUGUAAGCUAUACUAAAUGCCAUCAAAUCACUUUGACAUUUUCUCUUUCAUGUUUUCAAGGUAAUUAACUCAAGCAAAAAAAAAAAUUGAAAUCCACCACAUGAUGGAAAUGGGAUCCGUUGGAAGCAUGAAGCAAAAAUAUUUGCUUUCUCUCUCAAUUGGUUUCGGACCAAGUAUUGGGUCUUUAGUUAAAUAUGGGCUAAUAAUAAUGUGAAUACAAUCUGGCCCAUUUAAGCAAUUCAUUGUUUCAGUCACAACAAAAAAUCUGUAACAAUGCUGAAAACAAUUUAAAUGGACUUGCUGUAUAUUUCUUUUCUUUUUGGCCCAUUAACAAAACCUGCAUAGCAAAAUUAUUUAAUUAACAUAUUUGAAUUGGAAUCAAAUUAAUAAUUUUGUAAUUAAUCAUAUUAAUAAUAUUUAGUCAUCACUAAUAUUAACUUAGGGUUUUCCAAACUCAUCACAUUAGAGACACUAGAUUUUUAAAAUAAGGACAAAUUGACAAUUAAUGAAAAAAAAGGCUUAUGGCCGUGACUUUAGAGCAAUGGAGGAUUCGAGACACAAAUCCUUCUAGCCCUUGAAACGCUAGAUUCCAACCGUGAUCUUUAAGGUUCUUAAGGAUAAUUAUCUAAACCAAAGAGAACAAAAUGACCUCUCAUGAAGGCUCUUCAAAACCGAAAAGAGAGGAUAGAAAAUGAGAGUGGUUUAUACACUUUAUCUUGUUGGAUAUUCGGAAAAAAAAAGAAGAAAAAUAGAGGAUCAAACUGAAAAUCUUGAUUCUUGAAAGAAUGGUGAAAUGCUCCUUGAUUUAGUGAAGUGAAAGUGUAUGGAAUCAAUACAAGAUCACUUUUUCUUCUCUCAAGGCUUCGGCCUCUCUUUUUCUCUAAUUUCU
Molecule: long non-coding RNA, 1877 nt
Filed under: Arachis ipaensis
Lineage: Eukaryota; Viridiplantae; Streptophyta; Magnoliopsida; Fabales; Fabaceae
Description: long non-coding RNA (AIPA_LNC001814)
Source: RNAcentral